GCCAGGUGUGGUGGCACAUGCCUGUAAUCCCAUCUGCUUGGGAGGCUGAGGCAAGAGGAUUGCAAGUUCAAAGCCAGCCUCUG
RNAcentral lists this small RNA (83 nucleotides) under Marmota monax (woodchuck). Lineage: Eukaryota; Metazoa; Chordata; Mammalia; Rodentia; Sciuridae. The record is from RNAcentral.